UACGUAGGGGGCAAGCGUUGUCCGGAAUUAUUGGGCGUAAAGAGCGCGUAGGCGGUCCGGUAAGUCGGCUGUGAAAGUCAAGGGCUCAACCCUUGAAAGCCGGCCGAUACUGUCGGACUAGAGUCCGGAAGAGGCGAGUGGAAUUCCCGGUGUAGCGGUGAAAUGCGCAGAUAUCGGGAGGAACACCAAUUGCGAAGGCAGCUCGCUGGGACGUUACUGACUCUGAGACGCGAAAGCGUGGGGAGCAAACAGG
Molecule: ribosomal RNA, 253 nt
Filed under: uncultured bacterium
Lineage: Bacteria
Description: partial 16S ribosomal RNA
Rfam family: Bacterial small subunit ribosomal RNA
Source: RNAcentral